Molecule: unclassified non-coding RNA, 485 nt
Filed under: Hevea brasiliensis (rubber tree)
Lineage: Eukaryota; Viridiplantae; Streptophyta; Magnoliopsida; Malpighiales; Euphorbiaceae
Source: RNAcentral
AGGAUUUCCUAAGCUUGAAGUCCUUAAAUUCAAGAAGCUGGAGCCACUGGAGGAAUGGAAUGUGGAGAAAGGAGCACUGCCUAGUCUGAAAAGCUUGGAGAUCGAUGAAUGUAGAAAUUUAAUGAUGCUUCCCGAUGGGCUGCGGCAUGUUAGGACGCUCCGUGAAUUAAAAGUAACAAAAUUGCCAGUGUUAUCAUCAAGGAUCAAGGGCAAUCAGGGUGAGGAUUGGAAUAAAAUUGCUCAUGGGUGUCAUGUCCUCAUAGAAGAUUGAUAAUGCUGAGCAAAACUCAACUAUAAUGAGCAUGUAAUCCUCUGUUUCUAUAGCUUCUAAUAUUGUCUAAAUCACUGUUUAUUACUCUGUUUGUGAUGCUACAAUUAUCAACUUCUUGAUUAGUAACUCUCCUGAUUAGUAACUCAGAUUAUUUGAUUGCUAAAUCUGUAUUCCAUUUGCCCUUAUUGCUAAAUGAUUUAUUCCAGGAUUUGUC